RNAcentral lists this unclassified non-coding RNA (223 nucleotides) under uncultured Tremellomycetes. RNAcentral describes it as "sequence contains ITS2". Lineage: Eukaryota; Fungi; Basidiomycota; Tremellomycetes. The record is from RNAcentral. RNAcentral also lists the same sequence under 1 other name.
AAAUUAUCAACCAUGACUUGGGUUUAGGCCCUCGUUCUUGGCUUGGAUUUGGGUGCUUGCGGUCUUGUGCUGCUCACCUUAAAAGGAUUAGCUGGACAUGUCUUUUGACUUGGUUCUACUUGGCGUAAUAAGUAUUUCGCUGAGGACAUCCCUUCUGGGGUGGCCAAGACUCUGGCAAACGUCUGCUUUCUAACUCGACUGUCCUCGGACAUCACUUUUUAUG